GUCAGUACAAGGAUAUCAGUGGAGCACGUGAACUGUCCAUUAGUUAUUUCUCACUGUUACCACAUGACCAUACAUAUAUUUCAGGACACCCUUUAGAGGAUUUAUGCUGCAUAAUUCUUUGUUUCCAAUGUGUGGCAGCCUGUUCAACUUCAUCAGUUCAUUGUCCAUUAGGUAGUUUUCAACUUUGAUUUUUCAAAGACUGUAGUAUUUCAUAACUACAUCACAUCACUCAAAGAAUACUGAUACCAAAAAAAAAUGGGCCCUCUGAUUCUGAGAGAAGCUUGGGGUCCUUAAAGAGAAUUGUUAUUCCCUACUCUGUCUUUCUUUUUUAGUUCUAGACUCCUAUUUACAAAAUACGUGUACAUAUGUACAUCAAAGGAAUGACUGAAAAAGCAUGUAUUAUGUACCUACUAAAUGCUUUAUAUAAAAAUAUAAAAGUAAAGACAAUACCUAUCCUCAAAGAGUUUAUGUUCUAAUAAGGAGAGACAACACACUUAGGAAAGUAAUGAUCAAUGAGGGCCAUUUUGAUUCAGAAAAUUAAAGGAAUAGUGAGUGAGGCCAUAGAAGAGUAGAAUGACAAACAUCCCAUUCAGGAACAAAUGGCAGAAUUCUAGAACUGGAGGUUGGGGAGUAGGAGGAGGAGAAAGGCAGGCGGAUCAAUGAGGACAGAAGGGCCCCAUGGCAGAAGUUUUGAGACAUGGUCUCUGAUGUAGGCAAUAAAUCAGUUGGCCAGGCUAUGAAGAAGAUGGCCAAAAACAAGGGAGUGGACAAACUUCACAGGGGAGAGUUGGGAGGCAAGGAGAGAAUCUGGAAUUCGGACUUCUAAAAACAAAUGUUAAAAGUUGUUUUU
This is a non-coding RNA of Phascolarctos cinereus (koala), 850 nucleotides long. Lineage: Eukaryota; Metazoa; Chordata; Mammalia; Diprotodontia; Phascolarctidae. The record is from RefSeq and is a predicted model, not a curated record.